Molecule: long non-coding RNA, 637 nt
Organism: Doryrhamphus excisus (bluestripe pipefish)
Lineage: Eukaryota; Metazoa; Chordata; Actinopteri; Syngnathiformes; Syngnathidae
Source: RefSeq, a predicted model, not a curated record
AGGGAUUCGCCGAUGAAAGUGGCGUAGCGCUCGAUCUCAGUGGCGAGGGCUUGGACGACCCACCUCUUGAGAUGGAAGCGCAGAUAUCUGAGGAUGGCGCGACUGGGGAGGAAGGUGCAGCUCAUGCAGGCUGGAUAAUGGAGCAUAGCGAGUUCAGGACCAGCGUUCCCAUUUUGGACGAGUUGCGCUCAGCGCUCUUGUAAUAAUCCAGGGAGCUCUGAGUGAGGACGAACCAGCGCUUCUUCAGCUUCAGGGAGGUGCUCUUGGCGUUGGUCUUCACCUCCUUUUGGAGCCAACCUUGAAAAUCGACGACAUUGAGGAGAUAAGGAAGAGAUGCAUAUCCAAAAAUACCGGCACAGUUUAAAAGCAAUUAAAGGGAUGCGUUACCUCGAACGAGGAACUCCUGGCCAUCAAUCCGGGCAUCUCCUUUGGGUUUCUGCAGCAGACUGAUCCAGUGGUGCAUCUCCUCGGGCGUGUCGCUGUUGCAGUGGAUCACACGGUUGGCCGUGAUGAUCACAAAGGAGUUGGGCCUGAACAGAGCACAAAAAUCCACUUUCAUGUAUUUGAUUUAUUAUACCUUUAACUCAUUCAAUCCCAGCCAUUUCCCAGCCUCUCGGUACCAGCCAUUUUUGAUGAU